UUGUGAAGAUAGGGAAUAAAAAUUAAAUUUGCAGAGGAGGAAUUGUUCUAGACUACAUAAAAGAGUUGUUUCAAAGACCAGUGUUAUCAAGAAUGUACUUGGAAACAAAUCACCAAUGCAUUUCACCAAAAUACAUCCAACAACAACUAAAGGAAUUGAGGGUCUAUUCUGGGUUGUCGCACGAUGAGCUCUGUACCCUUGAGUCUACUAAUUUAAUAGAUGAGUUUGAGCAAUCUUUGAAAAGUAUGGAGGACUAUAAAUCAGCCAUUGAUCACAUAUUCCUGUGCUGUCCACAACUGGAACAUUACUUGAAAAAAUUUGUAGUACCAGCACCCGGGGACUGGCCAACUUGGUUUUAUCAAAAGAAACUCAUUGCUCAAGAAGUCAAUGCAGAUGCCAGUUUCCUAUCAGUCAUCCCAGAGCAGGGCCCAUUUCAUGUUUUCCUGAAUCUACAAGAAGAUGUUGUAACAAUUUAUGACUUCUUAUUUAAAAAAGUGUACAAAGAGACAUUUGGAUCUGACUUACCCAACAAGCCAAAGCCUUUUCGCGUCAGCCUGGUAAUAACCGCUGUUUUUCUGGCGUGGGGCAAAUAACGUGAUAAAGUUCUACUAAAAUUCAAGCUCUGCAAAGACAUAGAGUAUGCUUCCAUUCUGUUUCUUUUAGAUGAGGUAGUUCCCAUAUCAUUCUUCCACUAUCCUGUUACAUUCAGGUCUGGAGACAUGGAAUCAUAUAUAACAAUGAUGUUAAAGUUAUCUCUACUGUUUAUAAUCUGGAAAAGGCAUCAUUAUGACAGAUCAACACUCUCGAUGCUUAGUGACUUUUCUUUUCACAAACAACAUUUUUCACAGUACCAUGAACUUAAAAAGAAAUGGAUGGCUCUAAUAACUGAAAAGAAAGUUGAAAUCUGGCAUAGUGUGCUACGCAGCUUCAUUUCAAGUUAUGACAGUGCUAGUCAAAUUAGGGACAAAGCCCUGUCAUUUGCUGCAUCAAAGACAGAACAGCUCUUUCAUAACUAUUUAACAACACCAUACAGUAGAGGUUAUUCUGAAAAAGACCUAAGUUUGGUGACUGGUACAGCUGCUGAUGCAUUACUGAAAAUCAUCAAGCAAGUUGGUCAAAAUCUGGGAAAAGCAAAGCAGGUUCCACAAGAAACAAAUGCAAGAGGGCAGCCUAAAGGAGACAUGAAGUUUUUUCUUCCUACCUUUGACACCACCAUUACUUCAAAAGCAAUGCCCCUUGGCUACUCAUUUGUAAAAGAAGACCCUUCCACAAUACCUGAUCCUAAAUUAAUCUGUGACUACAAAAACUGCACGCAAUUAUCAACAACCAAUGUCAAUCGCCUUAACUGUUUUCACACAUUUCACAAUUUUUGCUGGAGACCAGUGUCCAAUCUGUUCCCCUCACCUCGCUGAAAAAAUUGCAGAAAUCUGUUCAGCAUUUAAUGAAAGCUUGUUGAAACCAACAGCAAAAUCUACUAGAACCCCACAAAGCAAUCAAGAACCUGGUAGUAAUGAUGAGAAUGACAGCAUUAAUGUCAAAAGAAAUUGUGACCCUGAAUACUAUGACUCUGCACAAUGGGAAUCCCACAUUGACAGGGAGUUAAAUUCAUUUGUUGUUGCACAACCACAACUGCGACACAAUGUUCCCAAUCACCAGGCUGCACCUUUACAGGCAAUUGACAUCCAAGUUACCACUCAUCCAGUUGGUUCAUCUACAUUUUGGUUCUUUCCUCCUUACAUAUCUCAGUCAACUCUACUUGGAAGAAAUGGAUCUAAUGCAUGUACUUUUAUCUCACUAAUUUUGGCCCAUUCAUAUAUCACUUCUGCAAACCGAACCAGUAUACAGCUCAGCCGUGGUCCUCCCAUAAACCCUCAUUGGCUUUCAAUGAUGUUAUCUGCAAUUGUUCGUGGCAACAGCAUAUAUGACACUGUGACAAAUGGUUGCGGGUCUCCAUUCUUUAGUGUUGUUGAGGCAAAACCACAUCUAGAUUCAGUCAUUGGGACUGUUUCUCUUGAAGACGCCCUCGAUCUGUCAAUUACAUCAGCUAAUCCACAGGUUCCUCAAAGUUCACUUGCAUUUUAUCUGCAAAGGCUUGAUCGCGAACAGAACUUAGCAGCAAUAGUCAUAGCUAAUGGAAUGACAAUAUCUCUCGUCGGACACGAUUCAAAGAUCUAUGUUCUAGAUAGCCAUCUACACUAUGCACACGGCCAUAACUUUGGAGCGAUGAUCGGAAUGAGUCCCAAGGCUGACUUGGAAGAAUUCCUCAGGAAUAUAAAGAAACUAAUCUCGCCCACAUUUGAUGUUUGCUCCCUGACAUUUGUCUCGUUUUCACGGCAGUAGUAGAACUUUUGAGUUUCGCGUGCCAGCAAAUCCCACAAACGCCGUCAAACUUGAGGAUUUUACCCUUGAUCCAGCAAAAAAUCUUCCUGGAACCUUAACACGAGUACAUUUUCUUGGUGUAUGUGUAUUUUUUUGCUCCCGUUAAGUCCAUUUUGAGCCAAACGUUUGUGUUUAUUGUAACAGCUUUGGGAAACUCGUGUUUCGUUCGCCAUUUUGAAUGAUUCUUGUCUCGCGCAUGCGCAGUCGUUCUGCCGCGGUGUAGGUUUGUAGCGUUGCAGAAUGGUCCUCGUUGCAGAAGUGUCUAACCAAUCAGAUUGUCUCUUGUAUCUCCCAUGCCGUCCAUCCAAUCAAAGUGCCUUGUGAUCGUGUCUUGUACCUGGUGGAGAUUGUACCAAGGGGAGAUCGUUCAUAGGGUCGUGUUGGAAUUGUUAACUUGGUGAAUCACUUUUUCAGCAUUUACCUUUAUUCAAGGCUGGAAUGGCAGAAUAACCAGGAGAACUACAAGGUCUUUAUGGUGGCAGCAACCAAUUAUGAGCCAUAGCAAGAUUCAAACAAUGACAACAUGCAAGUGAGCACCAUCGCCUGAUCCAAGUGCCAACUGUGCCAGAAUGUGAACUUUUAUUGGAUCUGUAUCGUACAGUGAAAAAACGUUGUUUGAGAAGCUAAUCAUCCACCUUUCAACUGUGGUGGCGAGUAUUGAGAUUGCAGAUGUAACACAUCAUUUGAUUGUGACCUUGACACAGCUUGAUAUCGAAUCAGUACAAAUAGGGUGCAAGUGCAUAUAGUACAAAUGAAAUCCCCCAGCUUUCUGGUCUGUCUGAAGUUGAUCGGCCAAACUGUGACUCGCUUAAGCUGGCAACAAUGAAUCAGGUGGUUCCUGAUGAUACCCCCUGGUGAACCAGGCUAAUAUCCCUACCAUUUUCUGUUAUUAAAAAUGUAGAAAAUGGAUAGGGAGGGGACCAGUAACCUUGCGUUGUCUCUUUUUAUGUUUUAUUUUAAGACUUCACAACCAUACGUAGUAAACUGUAUGUCCGAUCGGGUCUUAUGGAGGUAAAUGACGGAGGAUCGUAUGACAGCAGUGCCGGAGAUAUGCUUUAAAUAUGAAUAGAGUUUAGUGGCAAAGUUUAACUAGCGCAGAUUUGUGUAGUAAAUAAAUACAGUUAUACUUUGAGUUGAAAUGUCAUUUGUUCUGUUCCUUGUUUAGUUCUUUAUAAAUUCAGUUUAUAACCUUUA
This is an RNA transcript of Nematostella vectensis (starlet sea anemone), 3573 nucleotides long. RefSeq lists it as uncharacterized. The transcript is spliced from 5 exons. The record is from RefSeq and is a predicted model, not a curated record. Lineage: Eukaryota; Metazoa; Cnidaria; Anthozoa; Actiniaria; Edwardsiidae.